RNAcentral lists this ribosomal RNA (511 nucleotides) under uncultured bacterium. Its description in RNAcentral is "partial 16S ribosomal RNA". It matches the Rfam family "Bacterial small subunit ribosomal RNA", at positions 28 to 507 of the family's 1533-position model. The record is from RNAcentral.
GACGAACGCUGGCGGCGUGCCUAAUACAUGCAAGUCGAGCGAGCGGAACUAACAGAUUUACUUCGGUAAUGACGUUAGGAAAGCGAGCGGCGGAUGGGUGAGUAACACGUGGGGAACCUGCCCCAUAGUCUGGGAUACCACUUGGAAACAGGUGCUAAUACCGGAUAAGAAAGCAGAUCGCAUGAUCAGCUUUUAAAAGGCGGCGUAAGCUGUCGCUAUGGGAUGGCCCCGCGGUGCAUUAGCUAGUUGGUAAGGUAAAGGCUUACCAAGGCGAUGAUGCAUAGCCGAGUUGAGAGACUGAUCGGCCACAUUGGGACUGAGACACGGCCCAAACUCCUACGGGAGGCAGCAGUAGGGAAUCCUCCACAAUGGCGCAAGCCUGAUGGAGCAACGCCGCGUGAGUGAAGAAGGUUUUCGGAUCGUAAAGCUCUGUUGUUGGUGAAGAAGGAUAGAGGUAGUAACUGGCCUUUAUUUGACGGUAAUCAACCAGAAAGUCACGGCUAACUACGUG